AUGGAGACAGACCUGUACCUCAAGGUCGGCGGCGAGGGCGUCUUCUCAGGACUCCCUGGACGCCUUGCCUCUUCUGCAAGGGAUGCAACACAAGGAGGGUCUCGGGGUUGUUCCAUCAUCGGCCAUGGUAACUGCUGGGCGUGCGGCCGUGCAUGCCGACCAGGAGGCGGCGGCUUCAGCGCAUCAGUGUUGGAGCAGGAGUCGGCGAAGGGAGUGAGGAUUCUGGGGAGGGUGGAGUGUAAGCAGUACAGAACGGGCGAUCGAAAACCGGCGACCACGACGACAUUCAAGCCCAAUCUGCAGUCGCGCUUUUUGGCGGACGAGAUGGAAGCGUUCCAGGAGCGGAUGCUGCAGGAGUUCGCCGCGUUGCGGGCAGCGCAGAACAAGCUGGACGCAGUCGAUGGGAUCCGCGCUCAGCUGGAGGCUCUCGACGCCAAGCUAUCGGAGCAAACAGCGCUGCUGGACCAGGUACAAGUCAAGGUUAAUCUAUCAUGUGAUACGUUGGGGCAGGUGCAGCAGAACCAGAGUCAUGCCGUUCAGAUGCACAAGCGGCAGGAUACUACGGAGGCGUUGUCUCCAACCGCAUCAGAGGUCUCCGACGGCAUUCUGGGGGCAGGGCCGAAGUUACCUGGGCGUCCACCGCCUCGUCCUAUUCAGGUGACUGACACCACGCCUGAGCUUCAACAACCCGGGGCUCCGAUCUGUGACGAGAGCUCCAACAAGCGGCAAUGGAUGCCGAAAAUGGAUUUCCCGCGAUUUGAUGGUACCGAGGUCCGGAUCUGGUUGGACAAGUGUGAGGCCUUUUUCAGAUUGUAUAACAUUCCGGA
Molecule: ribosomal RNA, 827 nt
Filed under: Triticum aestivum (bread wheat)
Lineage: Eukaryota; Viridiplantae; Streptophyta; Magnoliopsida; Poales; Poaceae
Description: partial small subunit ribosomal RNA
Source: RNAcentral